RNAcentral lists this ribosomal RNA (253 nucleotides) under uncultured bacterium. RNAcentral's name for it is "partial 16S ribosomal RNA". It matches the Rfam family "Bacterial small subunit ribosomal RNA", at positions 524 to 776 of the family's 1533-position model. The record is from RNAcentral.
UACGUAGGGUGCGAGCGUUAAUCGGAAUUACUGGGCGUAAAGCGUGCGCAGGCGGCUUCGCAAGUCAGGCGUGAAAUCCCCGGGCUUAACCUGGGAAUGGCGUCUGAAACUACGGAGCUGGAGUGUGGCAGAGGGAGGUAGAAUUCCACGUGUAGCGGUGAAAUGCGUAGAUAUGUGGAGGAAUACCGGUGGCGAAGGCGGCAUCCUGGACCGGCAUUGACGCUGAUGAGCGAAAGCUAGGGGAGCAAACGGG